This 539-nucleotide ribosomal RNA is filed under the name uncultured Ralstonia sp. RNAcentral's name for it is "bacterial SSU rRNA". It matches the Rfam family "Bacterial small subunit ribosomal RNA", at positions 1 to 524 of the family's 1533-position model. The record is from RNAcentral. Lineage: Bacteria; Pseudomonadati; Pseudomonadota; Betaproteobacteria; Burkholderiales; Burkholderiaceae.
UACGAGUAUGAGAGUUUGAUCCUAGUGCUCAGAUUGAACGCUGGCGGCAUGCCUUACACAUGCAAGUCGAAUGGCAGCAUGAUCUAGCUUGCUAGAUUGAUGGCGAGUGGCGAACGGGUGAGUAAUACAUCGGAACGUGCCCUGUAGUGGGGGAUAACUAGUCGAAAGAUUAGCUAAUACCGCAUACGACCUGAGGGUGAAAGUGGGGGACCGCAAGGCCUCAUGCUAUAGGAGCGGCCGAUGUCUGAUUAGCUAGUUGGUGAGGUAAAGGCUCACCAAGGCGACGAUCAGUAGCUGGUCUGAGAGGACGAUCAGCCACACUGGGACUGAGACACGGCCCAGACUCCUACGGGAGGCAGCAGUGGGGAAUUUUGGACAAUGGGCGAAAGCCUGAUCCAGCAAUGCCGCGUGUGUGAAGAAGGCCUUCGGGUUGUAAAGCACAUUUGUCCGGAAAGAAAUGGCUCUGGUUAAUACCUGGGGUCGAUGACGGUACCGGAAGAAUAAGGACCGGCUAACUACGUGCCAGCAGCCGCGGUAAU